RNAcentral lists this ribosomal RNA (468 nucleotides) under uncultured bacterium. RNAcentral's name for it is "partial 16S ribosomal RNA". It matches the Rfam family "Bacterial small subunit ribosomal RNA", at positions 28 to 507 of the family's 1533-position model. The record is from RNAcentral.
GACGAACGCUGGCGGCGUGCUUAACACAUGCAAGUCGAACGGAAAGGCCCUGCUUUUGUGGGGUGCUCGAGUGGCGAACGGGUGAGUAACACGUGAGUAACCUGCCCUUGACUUUGGGAUAACUUCAGGAAACUGGGGCUAAUACCGGAUAGGAGCUCCUGCUGCAUGGUGGGGGUUGGAAAGUUUCGGCGGUUGGGGAUGGACUCGCGGCUUAUCAGCUUGUUGGUGGGGUAGUGGCUUACCAAGGCUUUGACGGGUAGCCGGCCUGAGAGGGUGACCGGCCACAUUGGGACUGAGAUACGGCCCAGAGUCCUACGGGAGGCAGCAGUGGGGAAUAUUGCACAAUGGGCGGAAGCCUGAUGCAGCAACGCCGCGUGCGGGAUGACGGCCUUCGGGUUGUAAACCGCUUUCGCCUGUGACGAAGCGUGAGUGACGGUAAUGGGUAAAGAGGCACCGGCUAACUACGUG